CUCUUCGUUACGUCCGAGAACAUUUCACCAGAAGCUUCUUCUUGCCUCCUCUCUCUGUCUCUUCUUCUUUAUGCGUCUUCUUCUUCAUGUCACAGUUAUCAUCUCCCUCACGAUACCACAGGCGAAGGAUGAUGUCAUCAGCACGAGUCUAAGACAAAGCAGCUCAACGAAUCUCCGGUUCUUCCAGCGAUGAGCCGAACCAGCCUGAGUCUGAGCCGAUCUCCUUCCUUCGACACGUGAGCGACCUGUUCAUCAAGAAAGAUAACUGCAGAAGCCGAACUUCGACACACAAAGAUAAGUUUUCUUUCUUCCUAAUCUUUGAUUAGAUUCUUCCAGAUUUUAGGGUUUUUCUUUGGGAUUAGAUUUCAGGUUCCGAUUAAAUACAGAGAUGAGUAUACGAACACACGCACACACACACUCUAGAACACAGAUUUAACGAGUUCAGAUUCCCAGUGUGGGAGAUCCUACAUCUCGGCAGGGACUUUGCCCUAGGUUAAUCCACUAUUACGUUCUUGCACCAUUACAACAGAGGAAUAUAUCAUUCUCUCUAAUAUACAAGCAUACACAGAAUCGGGAUUAGAAACUUAGCUCUUUCCCUUGAGUUUUCCUCCUUUCCGAUCACAGAACUUGCCAUUCUUAUGCAUCGAAGCUGAUCUCUUCCUCCAUUUCUUUUGCAGCUUAGUCAGCCUCCACAGAAGAAAACGAGAAGAAGAAUACUCUGCGUGCUCUCUGUGCUGAACUAAUGUGUAUUCUCGUUCCAAAACCAUUUCUGAUUUCUCAUACCUUUUAUAGCAGAUUUAGCAGGUAACAACUCUGAGAUUCUUUGUUAGUUUGUUAUCAACAAACUUUACCCGAUUUGUAAACAACCUUCCACGUAGGAUUAUUCUUUAGCAUCGCCAAAUCUCAUAGUCAUUAUCCCAACAAUCUCCACCUUGACUUGAGAUUUCAUCAUGGAUUAACCUAGAGCUUUAUCAGACUUUGUAGUCUUUGAAAUCCGGACAUGUUCAACACCUUUCAUCGAACAUUCCCAUCCCUGUAACCUUAGAAGCUUGACCACUUCUUAAUAGCACAGCUAGCAUCUCACUGCUGAAUUUAUCCCGGUGUCAUCUAAGUUCGCAACCCGACUUAGAACCGUUUUUCCAUGUCUCAUGCCCUGAAACAAUCCGUCACUGUCCACCAAAAAACCGGUUGAACAGAAUUUCCUUGACCUUCCUUGUUACAACACCCCGUGUAGCAAGUCUGUACUUCCCGCGAUCUUCCCUGCGCUCCACAAUGCUCCACCUAGACCGGCACACUGUGCAUUCCAGAUUUUCCUUCACUUCACUGUUUCCCUGAACCGGUUUAACAGCUUUUGUCCAUUGCUGUCGCCAUCUUUCUUGACCGAAAAACUGCAGCAACCCUUUUCCCGUGAGCUCCACCUUCAACCGGAACUCAUCGUAGCUCCGAGUCUAUCCUGACUCUAAAACAGCUUCAUGCGAUUGUUGACGAUGAUCUCUCCUGAACCCGAGUCUCAUUCCUUCAAUUAGCAAACUGCUCCACGCCAUUGAAUAGUUAUCAUCUCCCUCACGAUACCACAGGCGAAGGAUGAUGUCAUCAGCACGAGUCUAAGACAAAGCAGCUCAACGAAUCUCCGGUUCUUCCAGCGAUGAGCCGAACCAGCCUGAGUCUGAGCCGAUCUCCUUCCUUCGACACGUGAGCGACCUGUUCAUCAAGAAAGAUAACUGCAGAAGCCGAACUUCGACACACAAAGAUAAGUUUUCUUUCUUCCUAAUCUUUGAUUAGAUUCUUCCAGAUUUUAGGGUUUUUCUUUGGGAUUAGAUUUCAGGUUCCGAUUAAAUACAGAGAUGAGUAUACGAACACACGCACACACACACUCUAGAACACAGAUUUAACGAGUUCAGAUUCCCAGUGUGGGAGAUCCUACAUCUCGGCAGGGACUUUGCCCUAGGUUAAUCCACUAUUACGUUCUUGCACCAUUACAACAGAGGAAUAUAUCAUUCUCUCUAAUAUACAAGCAUACACAGAAUCGGGAUUAGAAACUUAGCUCUUUCCCUUGAGUUUUCCUCCUUUCCGAUCACAGAACUUGCCAUUCUUAUGCAUCGAAGCUGAUCUCUUCCUCCAUUUCUUUUGCAGCUUAGUCAGCCUCCACAGAAGAAAACGAGAAGAAGAAUACUCUGCGUGCUCUCUGUGCUGAACUAAUGUGUAUUCUCGUUCCAAAACCAUUUCUGAUUUCUCAUACCUUUUAUAGCAGAUUUAGCAGGUAACAACUCUGAGAUUCUUUGUUAGUUUGUUAUCAACAAACUUUACCCGAUUUGUAAACAACCUUCCACGUAGGAUUAUUCUUUAGCA
Long non-coding RNA from Tarenaya hassleriana, 2349 nucleotides. RefSeq lists it as uncharacterized. The record is from RefSeq and is a predicted model, not a curated record. Lineage: Eukaryota; Viridiplantae; Streptophyta; Magnoliopsida; Brassicales; Cleomaceae. The transcript is spliced from 3 exons.